This 114-nucleotide ribosomal RNA is filed under the name Zingiber officinale. The record is from RNAcentral. Lineage: Eukaryota; Viridiplantae; Streptophyta; Magnoliopsida; Zingiberales; Zingiberaceae.
GCGAUCAUACUAGCACUAAUGAACCGAUUCCCAUCAUAACUCCGUUGUUAAGUGUGCUUGGGUGAGUGUAGUACUAGGAUGGGUGACCCCUUGAGAAGUACUCGUGUUGCACCU